This 519-nucleotide small RNA is filed under the name Fusarium solani. Its description in RNAcentral is "eukaryotic LSU rRNA". The stretch from base 132 to 285 matches the Rfam family "5.8S ribosomal RNA". The record is from RNAcentral. Lineage: Eukaryota; Fungi; Ascomycota; Sordariomycetes; Hypocreales; Nectriaceae.
CAACCCUGUGACAUACCUAAAACGUUGCUUCGGCGGGAACAGACGGCCCUGUAACAACGGGCCGCCCCCGCCAGAGGACCCCUAACUCUGUUUUUAUAAUGUUUUUCUGAGUAAACAAGCAAAUAAAUUAAAACUUUCAACAACGGAUCUCUUGGCUCUGGCAUCGAUGAAGAACGCAGCGAAAUGCGAUAAGUAAUGUGAAUUGCAGAAUUCAGUGAAUCAUCGAAUCUUUGAACGCACAUUGCGCCCGCCAGUAUUCUGGCGGGCAUGCCUGUUCGAGCGUCAUUACAACCCUCAGGCCCCCGGGCCUGGCGUUGGGGAUCGGCGGAAGCCCCCUGUGGGCACACGCCGUCCCUCAAAUACAGUGGCGGUCCCGCCGCAGCUUCCAUUGCGUAGUAGCUAACACCUCGCAACUGGAGAGCGGCGCGGCCAUGCCGUAAAACACCCAACUUCUGAAUGUUGACCUCGAAUCACGUAGGAAUACCCGCUGAACUUAAGCAUAUCAAUAAGCGGAGGAAA